This 769-nucleotide ribosomal RNA is filed under the name Microbacterium paraoxydans. RNAcentral describes it as "bacterial SSU rRNA". It matches the Rfam family "Bacterial small subunit ribosomal RNA", at positions 56 to 844 of the family's 1533-position model. The record is from RNAcentral. Lineage: Bacteria; Bacillati; Actinomycetota; Actinomycetes; Micrococcales; Microbacteriaceae.
UGCAGUCGACGGUGAACACGGAGCUUGCUCUGUGGGAUCAGUGGCGAACGGGUGAGUAACACGUGAGCAACCUGCCCCUGACUCUGGGAUAAGCGCUGGAAACGGCGUCUAAUACUGGAUAUGUGACGUGACCGCAUGGUCUGCGUUUGGAAAGAUUUUUCGGUUGGGGAUGGGCUCGCGGCCUAUCAGCUUGUUGGUGAGGUAAUGGCUCACCAAGGCGUCGACGGGUAGCCGGCCUGAGAGGGUGACCGGCCACACUGGGACUGAGACACGGCCCAGACUCCUACGGGAGGCAGCAGUGGGGAAUAUUGCACAAUGGGCGAAAGCCUGAUGCAGCAACGCCGCGUGAGGGAUGACGGCCUUCGGGUUGUAAACCUCUUUUAGCAGGGAAGAAGCGAAAGUGACGGUACCUGCAGAAAAAGCGCCGGCUAACUACGUGCCAGCAGCCGCGGUAAUACGUAGGGCGCAAGCGUUAUCCGGAAUUAUUGGGCGUAAAGAGCUCGUAGGCGGUUUGUCGCGUCUGCUGUGAAAUCCCGAGGCUCAACCUCGGGCCUGCAGUGGGUACGGGCAGACUAGAGUGCGGUAGGGGAGAUUGGAAUUCCUGGUGUAGCGGUGGAAUGCGCAGAUAUCAGGAGGAACACCGAUGGCGAAGGCAGAUCUCUGGGCCGUAACUGACGCUGAGGAGCGAAAGGGUGGGGAGCAAACAGGCUUAGAUACCCUGGUAGUCCACCCCGUAAACGUUGGGAACUAGUUGUGGGGUCCAUUCCAC